GCCCCGGUGGCGGAAUUGGAAGACGCCGCUUCCUCAAAAGAAGCUUCCUUGCAGGUUCGAGUCCUGCUCGGGGCACCA
Molecule: transfer RNA, 78 nt
Filed under: Rhodopseudomonas sp. BR0C11
Lineage: Bacteria; Pseudomonadati; Pseudomonadota; Alphaproteobacteria; Hyphomicrobiales; Nitrobacteraceae
Description: tRNA-Leu
Rfam family: tRNA
About the family: Transfer RNA (tRNA) molecules are approximately 80 nucleotides in length.
Source: RNAcentral